RNAcentral lists this ribosomal RNA (2933 nucleotides) under Cohnella cholangitidis. RNAcentral describes it as "Cohnella sp. KS 22 23S ribosomal RNA". It matches the Rfam family "Bacterial large subunit ribosomal RNA". Lineage: Bacteria; Bacillati; Bacillota; Bacilli; Caryophanales; Paenibacillaceae. The record is from RNAcentral.
UGUGGUUAAGCUAAUAAGUGCGCACGGAGGAUGCCUAGGCGCCAGGAGCCGAUGAAGGACGCGACGAACAGCGAUAUGCUUCGGGGAGCUGUAAGUGAGCUUUGAUCCGGAGAUUUCCGAAUGGGGAAACCCAGCUAUCGUAAUGGAUAGUUACCCUCGAGUGAAUACAUAGCUCGUUGGAGGCACACCAGGGGAACUGAAACAUCUAAGUACCCUGAGGAACAGAAAACAAUAGUGAUUCCGUCAGUAGCGGCGAGCGAAAGCGGAGAAGCCCAAACCAAGGAGCUUGCUCCUUGGGGUUGUGGGACGUCUCACAUGGAGUAAAAAAAGAGAAGGUUAGGCGAAGAGGUCUGGAAAGGCCCGUCACAGAAGGUAACAACCCUGUAGCCGAAAGUCUUCUCUCUCCGAGACGGAUCCCGAGUACCGCGGGACACGAGAAACCCCGUGGGAAUCCGGCAGGACCAUCUGCCAAGGCUAAAUACUACCUGGCGACCGAUAGUGAAGCAGUACCGUGAGGGAAAGGUGAAAAGCACCGCGGGAGCGGAGUGAAAAAGAACCUGAAACCGUGCGCUUACAAGAAGUCAGAGCCCGAUCUAGGGGUGAUGGCGUGCCUUUUGUAGAAUGAACCGGCGAGUUACGUUCACGUGCAAGGUUAAGCUGAUGAGGCGGAGCCGAAGGGAAACCGAGUCUGAAUAGGGCGAAUAAGUACGUGGUCGUAGACCCGAAACCGUGUGAUCUACCCCUGUGCAGGGUGAAGGUGAGGUAACACUCACUGGAGGCCCGAACUCGUGAGCGUUGAAAAGCUCUGGGAUGACGUGGGGGUAGGGGAGAAAUUCCAAUCGAACUCGGAGAUAGCUGGUUCUCCCCGAAAUAGCUUUAGGGCUAGCCUCGAGGUGAAGCAUCAUGGAGGUAGAGCACUGAUUGGGUGCGGGGCCCGCCAAGGGUUACCAAGUCCAGUCAAACUCCGAAUGCCAUGCAUGUAUACUCGGGAGUCAGACGGCGAGUGCUAAGAUCCGUCGUCAAGAGGGAAAGAGCCCAGAUCAUCAGCUAAGGUCCCCAAGUGUGUGUUAAGUGGGAAAGGAUGUGGAGUUGCGAAGACAACCAGGAUGUUGGCUUAGAAGCAGCCACCAUUUAAAGAGUGCGUAAUAGCUCACUGGUCGAGUGACUCUGCGCCGAAAAUGUAACGGGGCUAAACACACCACCGAAGCUAUGGCAUGUACCUUAGGGUACUUGGGUAGGGGAGCGUUGAAUGCGGGUUGAAGUCAGACCGGAAGGACUGGUGGACUGCAUUCAAGUGAGAAUGCCGGUAUGAGUAACGAAAAGACAGGUGAGAAUCCUGUCCGCCGAAAGCCUAAGGGUUCCUGGGGUAGGUUCGUCCGCCCAGGGUAAGUCGGGACCUAAGGCGAGGCCGAAAGGCGUAGUCGAUGGACAACAGGUUGAAAUUCCUGUACCACCGUAAUCCGUUAUGAGCGAUGGGGGGACGCAGGAGGGGAACGACGCGAGCUGAUGGAUAUGCUCGUCCAAGCAGUGAGAGGUGUGUGUAGGCAAAUCCGCACACUAUAACCUCAAGCUGUGAUGGGGAGGGAAAAUCAUAGUACCGAAGGUCAUGUACCCACGCUGCCAAGAAAAGCCUCUAGCCAGGAGAAGGUGCCCGUACCGUAAACCGACACAGGUGGGCGAGAUGAGAAUUCUAAGGCGCGCGGAAGAACUCUCGUUAAGGAACUCGGCAAAAUGACCCCGUAACUUCGGGAGAAGGGGUGCCCCGGUAGUGUGAAUAGCACGAGGGGGCCGCAGUGAAGAGGCCCAAGCGACUGUUUAGCAAAAACACAGGUCUGUGCGAAGCCGCAAGGCGAAGUAUACGGGCUGACGCCUGCCCGGUGCUGGAAGGUUAAGAGGAGUGGUUAGGGGCAACCCGAAGCUAUGAAUUGAAGCCCCAGUAAACGGCGGCCGUAACUAUAACGGUCCUAAGGUAGCGAAAUUCCUUGUCAGGUAAAUUCUGACCCGCACGAAUGGCGUAACGACUUGGGCGCUGUCUCAACGAGAGAUCCGGUGAAAUUUUAGUACCUGUGAAGAUGCAGGUUACCCGCGACGUGACGGAAAGACCCCAUGGAGCUUUACUGUAGCUUGAUAUUGAACUUUGGUACGGUCUGUACAGGAUAGGUGGGAGCCUAUGAAGCAGGAGCGCAAGCUUCUGUGGAGGCGCCGUUGGGAUACCACCCUGAUCGUAUCGGAGUUCUAACUCACUACCCUUACCGGGUAGGAGGACCGUGUCAGGCGGACAGUUUGACUGGGGCGGUCGCCUCCUAAAAAGUAACGGAGGCGCUCUAAGGUUCCCUCAGCGCGGUUGGAAAUCGCGCGCAGAGUGCAAAGGCAUAAGGGAGCUUGACUGCGAGACCUACAAGUCGAGCAGGGACGAAAGUCGGACUUAGUGAUCCGGUGGUACCGAAUGGAAGGGCCAUCGCUCAACGGAUAAAAGCUACCCUGGGGAUAACAGGCUUAUCUCCCCCAAGAGUCCACAUCGACGGGGAGGUUUGGCACCUCGAUGUCGGCUCAUCGCAUCCUGGGGCUGAAGUAGGUCCCAAGGGUUGGGCUGUUCGCCCAUUAAAGCGGUACGCGAGCUGGGUUCAGAACGUCGUGAGACAGUUCGGUCCCUAUCUGUCGCGGGCGUAGGAAAUUUGAGAGGGGCUGUCCUUAGUACGAGAGGACCGGGAUGGACGCACCGCUGGUGUACCAGUUGUUCCGCCAGGAGCACCGCUGGGUAGCCAAGUGCGGAAGGGAUAAGCGCUGAAAGCAUCUAAGCGCGAAGCCUGCCUCAAGAUGAGAUUUCCCAAUUCGUAAGACCCCUGGAAGAACACCAGGUUGAUAGGCUCGGGGUGGAAGCGCGGCAACGUGUGGAGCUGACGAGUACUAAUCGGUCGAGGGCUUAUCCUAAA